CAAUAUACGAGAUACAUAUUACAAAAUAUACAUAUAUCUCGUAUGUUCUA
This 50-nucleotide non-coding RNA is filed under the name Spodoptera frugiperda (fall armyworm). Lineage: Eukaryota; Metazoa; Arthropoda; Insecta; Lepidoptera; Noctuidae. The record is from RNAcentral.